CGGUCGACGUACGUCAGAGGAAGUUUGUAGUUAUAGGCGUCACGAACGAACGACGUCGGCGGCGCGUUAGUCGAUGCAAGUCGAGCGGCAAGGGCCUUCGGGCCCUAGAGCGGCGGACGGGUGAGUAACACGUGGACAAUCUGCCCCCCGGCCCGGGAUAGCCCAGGGAAACCUGGAUUAAUACCGGAUGAGACGGGACCCGCGAUGGCGGGAUCCGGGAAAGGCGCUGCGGCGCCGCCGGGGGAUGAGUCUGCGUCCCAUUAGCUAGACGGCGGGGUAACGGCCCACCGUGGCGACGAUGGGUAGCCGGCCUGAGAGGGUGGACGGCCACAUUGGAACUGAGACACGGUCCAGACUCCUACGGGAGGCAGCAGCUAAGAAUCUUCCGCAAUGGGCGAAAGCCUGGCGGAGCGAACCGCCGCGUGAACGAAGAAGGCCGUGAGGUUGUAAAGUUCUUUUCGGGAGGGGGAACAACCGUGGCAGGGAAUGGCCGCGGGAUGACGUGAAUCCCGGAAUAAGCCCCGGCUAACUACGUGCCAGCCGCCGC
This 547-nucleotide ribosomal RNA is filed under the name uncultured bacterium. Its description in RNAcentral is "bacterial SSU rRNA". It matches the Rfam family "Bacterial small subunit ribosomal RNA", at positions 1 to 518 of the family's 1533-position model. The record is from RNAcentral.